This 521-nucleotide ribosomal RNA is filed under the name uncultured bacterium. RNAcentral's name for it is "bacterial SSU rRNA". It matches the Rfam family "Bacterial small subunit ribosomal RNA", at positions 988 to 1509 of the family's 1533-position model. The record is from RNAcentral.
CCAGAGAACUUAGCAGAGAUGCUUUGGUGCCUUCGGGAACUCUGAGACAGGUGCUGCAUGGCUGUCGUCAGCUCGUGUUGUGAAAUGUUGGGUUAAGUCCCGCAACGAGCGCAACCCUUAUCCUUUGUUGCCAGCGAUUCGGUCGGGAACUCAAAGGAGACUGCCGGUGAUAAACCGGAGGAAGGUGGGGAUGACGUCAAGUCAUCAUGGCCCUUACGGCCAGGGCUACACACGUGCUACAAUGGCGCAUACAAAGAGAAGCGACCUCGCGAGAGCAAGCGGACCUCAUAAAGUGCGUCGUAGUCCGGAUUGGAGUCUGCAACUCGACUCCAUGAAGUCGGAAUCGCUAGUAAUCGUAGAUCAGAAUGCUACGGUGAAUACGUUCCCGGGCCUUGUACACACCGCCCGUCACACCAUGGGAGUGGGUUGCAAAAGAAGUAGGUAGCUUAACCUUCGGGAGGGCGCUUACCACUUUGUGAUUCAUGACUGGGGUGAAGUCGUAACAAGGUAAGCGUAGAUGA